AUGGCCCCGCCGCUUCGGCUCGUUGCCGGGGCGACGCCGCGAGCGGGCGGGACCUACGGAGUAACACGCCUCUCCGUGGUCACGUGGGAGGUAGGCGGGUUGGCUAAAAACCUGAGCCGAAAGCUACACUGUGACAGCAGGAAUUUGUUAGGCGAGGACAUCUGCAGUCCAGGAUGCGGGCAGCCCAGAAACAGUGCUUGAGGGGCACAGUGAAUGGAGAAGCUACUUGAGGACUGAAGGGAGCACAUCUUUCUUCAAGGCUGCUGCUUCACUCAAGAAACACGCUUUUAAAGUCAAUUCCACAGCUAUAUAAACCAGCAAGGAGGCACUCGAUUUCAGCUUUUUGUUACAGAAGCUAGAUCGCAUUCAAAUUGCUGUAUUUUAGACAGAAAACUAUGUACAAUACUAGAUUGAAUCCAUCUGCUCUUUUAUCUGGAAAGGUUAAGGCACAGGUACAUUGUCUCAGACACUUGUAGAUGAAAAGCAGCAGCACAAAGAGAGGCUGCAAUAAUCUUCAGAGAGUUUUAAUUUGUUUGAGGGCCACAGGUGAUACAGUGAGCUAAUUGCUACCAUAUGGUUGUACUCUGCUUAAACAGCUGUUGUGUUUAUCAGGCAUAAGUCUACCCCCAAAAAGUAGCAUUUUGACAGUUUUCUGCAUUUACUCAGCUGAUGUACAAAGUUUUGCUUAAAAGGCUGUGUUCUGAGAGCAUAGCAUAACAAUUUAAGCAUACAGGUACAGCAACAAGCUUUAUACCAGUAUAUUGAUAGUGCAGAACCCCCACAGCUUGUCCUGGCAUUUUAGCACAUCUGGAGGUAGAGUCACAGUCAUCUGAUUUCUCUAAAGCCAAUACACAAUGGGGUAGCUUACAUCUUUAAAAAUCUCUGACUUUGAGAUCUUCUGUGAAUCUCUUUCCAGUCAUUUUGCUUGACCUUAAUCCCUCUCCCCACCUAUACCUCCACUUUUCUUCAAAUGUUAGGCAGCUUUAUCUUAAUUUUUAUUCUACUCCCAAGCUGACUUGAUAUGUUUGGGGGUACAGAUAAGAAGUUUCAGUUCUGUGUAUAGGUAUGGCGUUGCAUGUUUCUGAACCCAAAAUUUGGUUCAAAUUUUCUGGGCAGCAACUUGCCAUUUUCUUAGCUCAGUGCGUGGGCUAAUUAUCUAACUGAUGUUGCUCACCUGACUCAUUUCUGUAAUCUAAACCACCUUGUAGAAUUGCCACAAAAAUUUAAAAAGAGCCUGGUGAGGCAGACAGCAAAUACACUAGAAGUUGAUGUAAGCUUGAUGUAGAUGAAUUCAUUUAGUCACUUGAUAAAUUCCAGCUUCGAGUGGCUUGAGCUUUUAAAAUGCUGAUCAAUCCACUGCUGAAUUUUGUUGGUUAAUUUGCUGUGCAACUCCAUUUCAAGUAUCAGACUGUGUGCAUUGUUCUCAUAAAAAAUACAAAGUUAAAAAAGCAGUACACCAAAUAUAAUGACUUAAACCCAAGUGAUUGUACACCAUACCAUACAAAUAAGAUUUUGUUAUUAAUUUGAUGACAGCACUGCAACAUUCUGCACAUUGAAGCCAACUAGUGAACCACUUGUGUUAGAUUACAUGUUGUUUUGUGUUUAAAUGCAUGUUUAUUAAAAGCAUACAGUAGCAUGCUCUUACUCAAAACAGAAAAAAUAUCCAAAAAUAUUUUCAAAAAUAUUUGAGUGCCUAAAAAAUUAAAAUACUUGGUAACUAAUAAUUAAUGCUGUCACCUCGACCAAAUCCCUACCUACAUAGCUUUCUUACUAGGCAUACUGUUUUGGUUUCAUUAAACAGUACUAGACAGCAGCUUCCAAAAUACGUAAAUUGAAACCAGCAAUGCUGUCUUCUUCUGGGCCUACUGGAGGAGGGUUUUAUUAGCUGAGAGCCUGGAGGUGCAAGUUCUCAAGUUUUCUUUGUUUAGCUCAGGGUCUCAGAAAAUUUUGGUUUCGGACCUCUUGCUUUGUUGGUUGCUUUAUUCCCAGGAGAACACCACUGUCGGGGGAGGGGGGGGAGGCAGGGGGGAGUUAGAAAUUGCUAGUAAAAGUCCCUUGGAGGAAAGAGAAAGACCUAAUGGUGAGGCAGGGAGAAGAAGAGUAGUCAUCGACAAGGUUUGUUCGCAUUGACCUGCUGCUGCUUUUAAACAAAAAUGCAGUUUCCAUGCAGGUUUAUCUUUUCUCUAUCCCACUAGUUUUUGCAUUCAUUGCAUAGAUCAUAGCAGGUGGAUAGAUCAUUCAGGUUAAUUAUCCUGCAACUUGUCUCACUGUCAUUUCUUUCCACUGGCUGUGAUCUAUAGCCACUUCUAUUUUCUUUUCCAAUUACCUGGGGUGUGUUUUCCUUUCCAAGUUGGAGCAUUCUCUCUCCAACCACUGGCAGGAGCAGUGGCUGUAAGCAGAUCACAGUUUCUAUUACAAGAGGCUGCUUACUUCCUGAGGUGCUUUGUCUCCACAUCACCAUCUCCCAGUCAUGUCUGGACCUUUCAUACUGUUUUAGAGGUACGUAUAUAGAUUUUUUUUUUUUUUUUUUUUUAUUUUUGGUGGGGGAAAUAUGCUUUAUUCAGCUUCAGAAAGCAACAACGCACUGCUUUCUCACACCUCCUCAAAUCUCAAACAGCAUACCAUUAGUACAAGCAUUAAUUUCCCAGUUGACCAUCCCAAU
RNAcentral lists this long non-coding RNA (2662 nucleotides) under Pavo cristatus (Indian peafowl). Its description in RNAcentral is "lncRNA (ENSPSTG00000009557.1)". The record is from RNAcentral. Lineage: Eukaryota; Metazoa; Chordata; Aves; Galliformes; Phasianidae.